RNAcentral lists this ribosomal RNA (352 nucleotides) under Cyanothece sp. CY05_aks. RNAcentral describes it as "bacterial LSU rRNA". It matches the Rfam family "Bacterial large subunit ribosomal RNA", at positions 2109 to 2458 of the family's 2925-position model. Lineage: Bacteria; Bacillati; Cyanobacteriota; Cyanophyceae; Gomontiellales; Cyanothecaceae. The record is from RNAcentral.
ACCGGAAGAGGGCGUUCGGGCUGAGCUUGCGCAGGAUAGGUGGGAGGCGAAGAAAGUUUCCUCGUGGGGAAACUGGAGCCAUCGGUGAGAUACCACUCUGGUUCAGCUAGAAUUCUAACCUUCACCCGUAAACCGGGGAAGGGACAGCUGCAGGCGGGCAGUUUGACUGGGGCGGUCGCCUCCAAAAAGGUAACGGAGGCGCGCAACGGUUCCCUCAGGCUGGUUGGAAAUCAGCCGCAGAGUGCAAAGGCAGAAGGGAGCUUGACUGUAACACCAACAAGUGGAGCAGGGACGAAAGUCGGCCUUAGUGAUCCGACGGCGCUGCGUGGAAAGGCCUCGUCUUACAGGUACC